GACAGCAGUCGCCGCGGGAAUACGUAGGGGGCAAGCGUUAUCCGGAAUUAUUGGGCGUAAAGAGUGCGUAGGUGGUCUAUUAAGCGCGAGGUGAAAGGCAAUGGCUCAACCAUUGUUAGCCUUGCGAACUGGCAGACUUGAGUGCAAGAGAGGAAAGCGGAAUUCCUAGUGUAGCGGUGAAAUGCGCAGAUAUUAGGAGGAACACCGGCGGCGAAGGCGGCUUUCUGGAUUGUAACUGACACUGAGGCACGAAAGCGUGGGUAGCAAACAGGAUUAGAUACCCCUGUAGUCCCUGUCUCUUAUACA
Molecule: ribosomal RNA, 306 nt
Filed under: uncultured bacterium
Lineage: Bacteria
Description: partial 16S ribosomal RNA
Rfam family: Bacterial small subunit ribosomal RNA
Source: RNAcentral